Molecule: long non-coding RNA, 484 nt
Filed under: Panax ginseng (ginseng)
Lineage: Eukaryota; Viridiplantae; Streptophyta; Magnoliopsida; Apiales; Araliaceae
Description: long non-coding RNA (PGIN_LNC000503)
Source: RNAcentral
CUGUGCUUCACGUAUCCUACAUGGUUUUAAUUCACACAUAGGCACACGUCAAUCAUACAUUCAAAGCAUAUACGUAAACUAUAUUGAUUCAAUGAAAUCAUUAGUUUACUAUAUCUCUUGUUCAUUAGUUUCAUAUAGAAACCUUUAACAUUUAGCCAAUCUUAUCUUUCUUAUCAAUCUUUGUUUGACAUAGUCGUUCUGCACUUAGACAUACUAGACAUCAUACUCGACAAGUAAUCAUGCUUACCAGUCUUAAACAAACAUACUCUAAGGUUUGGUUUUAACAACCAAAACUUCUUGGCCAUUCUACAAUGUGGCGCUACGACAAGGUAGUUGGGGGCCUAGCUCCUCGGUGAGCGAGCAGCUGCCCAGUUCGCCGGUGAGCUGGCGGGGGUUGCAAGGGAGCAACGCCUGCUAGACACCAGCCAGGUUCAUCACAUUCACUUUUCAAAACUUCUUUGAAUUUCACAAAAGUUUUCAUUCG